UGUAAGUAUGGUAACAUAUUUAGCUGACUGAUACUAAUAGGUCGAGGGCUUGACCAA
Molecule: ribosomal RNA, 57 nt
Filed under: Clostridium beijerinckii
Lineage: Bacteria; Bacillati; Bacillota; Clostridia; Eubacteriales; Clostridiaceae
Description: partial 23S ribosomal RNA
Source: RNAcentral